UGGAACAAUGUAGGUAAGGGAAGUCGGCAAAACGGAUCCAUAACUUCGGGAAAAGGAUUGGCUCUGAGGGUUGGGCUUAGGGGUCUGCGGCUUGACCCUGUAGGCUGCUGGCGGUCUACCCGAGCUGCUUGCGCAGCGAGGGCGGGCCCCAGCAUGCCGACCUGGUGACGGACGCAGAACGCUCCCCCCGGGGGGCAUUCCCUAGGCAUCGAACAACUGACUCAGAACUGGAACGGACAAGGGGAAUCCGACUGUUUAAUUAAAACAAAGCAUUGCGAUGGUCCUUGCAGAUGUUGACGCAAUGUGAUUUCUGCCCAGUGCUCUGAAUGUCAAAGUGAAGAAAUUCAACCAAGCGCGGGUAAACGGUGGGAGUAACUAUGACUCUCUUAAGGUAGCCAAAUGCCUCGUCAUCUAAUUAGUGACGUGCAUGAAUGGAUUAACGAGAUUCCCAUUGUACUAUCUAGCGAAACCACAGCCAAGGGAACGGGCUUGG
RNAcentral lists this non-coding RNA (493 nucleotides) under Selaginella moellendorffii. RNAcentral's name for it is "rRNA LSU_rRNA_eukarya". It matches the Rfam family "Eukaryotic large subunit ribosomal RNA", at positions 1891 to 2388 of the family's 3401-position model. The record is from Rfam by way of RNAcentral. Lineage: Eukaryota; Viridiplantae; Streptophyta; Lycopodiopsida; Selaginellales; Selaginellaceae.